This 253-nucleotide ribosomal RNA is filed under the name Leyella stercorea DSM 18206. RNAcentral describes it as "Prevotella stercorea DSM 18206 partial 16S ribosomal RNA". It matches the Rfam family "Bacterial small subunit ribosomal RNA", at positions 524 to 776 of the family's 1533-position model. The record is from RNAcentral. Lineage: Bacteria; Pseudomonadati; Bacteroidota; Bacteroidia; Bacteroidales; Prevotellaceae. RNAcentral also lists the same sequence under 1 other name.
UACGGAAGGUCCGGGCGUUAUCCGGAUUUAUUGGGUUUAAAGGGAGCGUAGGCCGUUUGGUAAGCGUGUUGUGAAAUGUCGGGGCUCAACCUGGGCAUUGCAGCGCGAACUGCCAGACUUGAGUGCGCAGGAAGUAGGCGGAAUUCGUCGUGUAGCGGUGAAAUGCUUAGAUAUGACGAAGAACUCCGAUUGCGAAGGCAGCCUGCUGUAGCGCAACUGACGCUGAAGCUCGAAAGCGUGGGUAUCGAACAGG